UACGAAGGGGGCUAGCGUUGUUCGGAAUUACUGGGCGUAAAGCGCGCGCAGGCGGUCUUCCAAGUCAGUGGUGAAAGCCCGGAGCUCAACUCCGGAACUGCCAUUGAAACUGUAAGACUUGAGGACGAGAGAGGUGAGUGGAAUUCCCAGUGUAGAGGCGAAAUUCGUAGAUAUUGGGAAGAACACCGGUGGCGAAGGCGGCCCUCUGGACGGUGACUGACGCUGAGACGCGAAAGCGUGGGGAGCAAACAGG
Molecule: ribosomal RNA, 253 nt
Filed under: uncultured bacterium
Lineage: Bacteria
Description: partial 16S ribosomal RNA
Rfam family: Bacterial small subunit ribosomal RNA
Source: RNAcentral